GGAACCUUCACCAAAUAACAUUUGCAACCAUUGAUCCCUGGUUAUUGACACAAAUUCAUUAUAAUCAUUAUAUGUUUUGCUUUGUCUUCUAUAUGAUCUAGGUUUAUGCUAAAUAUAAGAAUGAAAUCCUCGUAGGUAUUCGAUAUUACAUUGAAUACUAUUUGUAAUCGAAGGUACACAGAAACCCUAAGACUCAUUUAAACAGAAGGGCCAGGGUGGCAACAUACCCAAGCAAAUAAUCAAAAACAGAGUAACAAUAAAAUUUACGCUACCUGUUUUUAGACCUCAUAUCCAACAUCAAAUGGAAGUCGAGUGCUAAUUUGUUGUUUCUUACCUGUGUUUUAGACCUCAUAUCCUAUGUUGUCAAAACUCAUAUCCAACAUCAAAUGAAAGUCGAGAGCUGAUUUGUUGUUUCUUCCACAAAAAGAAUACCAGCAU
Molecule: long non-coding RNA, 438 nt
Filed under: Helianthus annuus (common sunflower)
Lineage: Eukaryota; Viridiplantae; Streptophyta; Magnoliopsida; Asterales; Asteraceae
Source: RNAcentral